Molecule: ribosomal RNA, 497 nt
Filed under: uncultured bacterium
Lineage: Bacteria
Description: partial 16S ribosomal RNA
Rfam family: Bacterial small subunit ribosomal RNA
Source: RNAcentral
GAUGAACGCUGGCGGCGUGCCUAAUACAUGCAAGUCGAGCGAACGGACGAGAAGCUUGCUUCUCUGAUGUUAGCGGCGGACGGGUGAGUAACACGUGGAUAACCUACCUAUAAGACUGGUAUAACUUGGGGAAACCGGAGCUAAUACCGGAUGAUAUUUUGAACCGCAUGGUUCAAAAGUGAAAGACGGUCUUGCUGUCACGUAUAGAUGGAUCCGCGCUGCAUUAGCUAGUUGGGAAGGUAACGGCUUACCAAGGCAACGAUGCAUAGCCGAGCGGAGAGGGUGAUAGGCCGCACUGGAACUGGGACACCGUCCAGACUCCUACGGGACGCAGCAGUAGGGUAUCUUCCGCAAUGGUCGGGAGCCUGGCGGAGCAGCGCCGCGUGAGAGGUGACGGUCUUCGGAUCGUAAAACUCUGUUAUUAGGGAAGAACCUAUGUGUACGUAACUGUGCACAUCUUGACGGUACCUAGUCAGAAAGCCCCGGCUAACUACGUG